RNAcentral lists this small nuclear RNA (178 nucleotides) under Climacostomum virens. RNAcentral's name for it is "partial Dictyostelium signal recognition particle". Lineage: Eukaryota; Ciliophora; Heterotrichea; Heterotrichida; Climacostomidae. The record is from RNAcentral.
UUGCAAGGUCCUUCAAGACAACUUCAGAUGCAGGAUGCUCACUAACUAUGUCAUCAACUCACCCAGAAUGGUAGACUGGGGGUGGAAGGUCGCUAAGGCCUUUAUCAAUGCCCACACUGUCAACAAAAUACGCAUCAGGAGAGGGGUGCCGACAGAUGAAAUGAGAGCUCACAUAAAC